GGGUUGUGAGGUUAAGCGACUAAGCGUACACGGUGGAUGCCUAGGCAAUCAGAGGCGAUGAAGGACGUGCUAAUCUGCGAUAAGCGUCGGUAAGGUGAUAUGAACCGUGAUAACCGACGAUUUCCGAAUGGGGAAACCCAGUGCAAUCCGUUGCACUAUCGUUUGAUGAAUACAUAGUCAAACGAAGCGAACCGGGGGAACUGAAACAUCUCAGUACCCCGAGGAAAAGAAAUCAACCGAGAUUCCCCUAGUAGCGGCGAGCGAACGGGGAGCAGCCCAGAGUCUUAAUCAGCAUUAGCAUCAGGAGAACGGUCUGGAAAGUCCGGCAGUAAAGGGUGAUAGCCCCGUAUCCGAAGGUGUUAGUGUUGUGAACUCGACGAGUAGGGCGGGACACGUGUUAUCCUGUCUGAAUAUGGGGGGACCAUCCUCCAAGGCUAAAUACUCCUGAUUGACCGAUAGUGAACCAGUACCGUGAGGGAAAGGCGAAAAGAACCCCGGCGAGGGGAGUGAAAUAGAACCUGAAACCGUGUACGUACAAGCAGUGGGAGCCCCACCACCAAAGCAUUUUCUAGUGUUGAGGACAACUUUGAAGUGACAUUCAACACGCGUUGGCGGAGCGUUUUUUGCGACGCCCAACACACAAAACAAGCAGUGAAUGUGCUUUGGGGUGGGGUGACUGCGUACCUUUUGUAUAAUGGGUCAGCGACUUAUAUUCUGUAGCAAGGUUAACCGUAUAGGGGAGCCGUAGGGAAACCGAGUCUUAACUGGGCGAAUAAGUUGCAGGGUAUAGACCCGAAACCCGGUGAUCUAGCCAUGGGCAGGUUGAAGGUUGGGUAACACUAACUGGAGGACCGAACCGACUAAUGUUGAAAAAUUAGCGGAUGACUUGUGGCUGGGGGUGAAAGGCCAAUCAAACCGGGAGAUAGCUGGUUCUCCCCGAAAGCUAUUUAGGUAGCGCCUCGUGAACUCAUCUUCGGGGGUAGAGCACUGUUUCGACUAGGGUCAUCCCGACUUACCAACUCGAUGCAAACUACGAAUACCGAAGAAUGUUAUCACGGGAGACACACGGCGGGUGCUAACGUUCGUCGUGAAGAGGGAAACAACCCAGACCGCCAGCUAAGGUCCCAAAGUCAUAGUUAAGUGGGAAACGAAGUGGGAAGGCUCAGACAGCCAGGAUGUUGGCUUAGAAGCAGCCAUCAUUUAAAGAAAGCGUAAUAGCUCACUGGUCGAGUCGGCCUGCGCGGAAGAUGUAACGGGGCUAAACUAUGCACCGAAGCUGCGGCAACGAUAUGUAAAUAUUGUUGGGUAGGGGAGCGUUCUGUAAGCCUGUGAAGGUGUGCUGUGAGGCAUGCUGGAGGUAUCAGAAGUGCGAAUGCUGACAUAAGUAACGAUAAUGCGGGUGAAAAACCCGCACGCCGGAAGACCAAGGGUUCCUGUCCAACGUUAAUCGGGGCAGGGUGAGUCGACCCCUAAGGCGAGGCAGAAAUGCGUAGUCGAUGGGAAACGGGUUAAUAUUCCCGUACUGGUGAUAAUUGCGAUGGGGGACGGAGAAGGCUAGGCUAUCCGGGCGACGGUUGUCCCGGUUUAAGGAUGUAGGCAGGUGAAUUAGGCAAAUCCGGUUCACUACAUGCUGAGGUCCGAUGACGAGUCACUACGGUGAUGAAGUAGCUCAUGCCCCGCUUCCAGGAAAAGCCUCUAAGCUCUAGAUUAUCAUUAAUCGUACCCCAAACCGACACAGGUGGUCAGGUAGAGAAUACUCAGGCGCUUGAGAGAACUCGGGUGAAGGAACUAGGCAAAAUGGUGCCGUAACUUCGGGAGAAGGCACGCUGGCGCUAGGUGAAGUCCCUCGCGGAUGGAGCUGAAGCCAGUCGCAGAUACCAGCUGGCUGCAACUGUUUAUUAAAAACACAGCACUGUGCAAACACGAAAGUGGACGUAUACGGUGUGACGCCUGCCCGGUGCUGGAAGGUUAAUUGAUGGGGUUAUCCGUAAGGAGAAGCUCUUGAUCGAAGCCCCAGUAAACGGCGGCCGUAACUAUAACGGUCCUAAGGUAGCGAAAUUCCUUGUCGGGUAAGUUCCGACCUGCACGAAUGGCGUAAUGAUGGCCAGGCUGUCUCCACCCGAGACUCAGUGAAAUUGAACUCGCUGUGAAGAUGCAGUGUACCCGCGGCAAGACGGAAAGACCCCGUGAACCUUUACUAUAGCUUGACACUGAACAUUGAGCCUUGAUGUGUAGGAUAGGUGGGAGGCUUUGAAGUGUGGACGCCAGUCUGCAUGGAGCCAACCUUGAAAUACCACCCUUUAAUGUUUGAUGUUCUAACGUAGCCCCGUUAUCCGGGGUGCGGACAGUGUCUGGUGGGUAGUUUGACUGGGGCGGUCUCCUCCCAAAGAGUAACGGAGGAGCACGAAGGUUGGCUAAGCAUGGUCGGACAUCAUGCGGUUAGUGCAAAGGCAUAAGCCAGCUUGACUGCGAGAGUGACGGCUCGAGCAGGUACGAAAGUAGGUCUUAGUGAUCCGGUGGUUCUGAAUGGAAGGGCCAUCGCUCAACGGAUAAAAGGUACUCCGGGGAUAACAGGCUGAUACCGCCCAAGAGUUCAUAUCGACGGCGGUGUUUGGCACCUCGAUGUCGGCUCAUCACAUCCUGGGGCUGAAGUAGGUCCCAAGGGUACGGCUGUUCGCCGUUUAAAGUGGUACGCGAGCUGGGUUUAGAACGUCGUGAGACAGUUCGGUCCCUAUCUGCCGUGGGCGUUGGAAGAUUGAAAGGGGCUGCUCCUAGUACGAGAGGACCGGAGUGGACGCACCACUGGUGUUCGGGUUGUCAUGCCAAUGGCAUUGCCCGGUAGCUAAGUGCGGAAGAGAUAACCGCUGAAAGCAUCUAAGCGGGAAACUUGCCUUGAGAUGAGUCUUCCCUGACCCUUAAAGGGUCCUAAAGGAACGUUUAAGACUAAGACGUUGAUAGGUUGGGUGUGUAAGCGUAGCGAUACGUUGAGCUAACCAAUACUAAUGAACCGUGAGGCUUAACCUGACAACACCGAAGGUGUUUUAG
RNAcentral lists this ribosomal RNA (3045 nucleotides) under Providencia rettgeri. RNAcentral's name for it is "bacterial LSU rRNA". It matches the Rfam family "Bacterial large subunit ribosomal RNA". Lineage: Bacteria; Pseudomonadati; Pseudomonadota; Gammaproteobacteria; Enterobacterales; Morganellaceae. The record is from RNAcentral.